AGUGGGGAAUAUUGCACAAUGGGCGCAAGCCUGAUGCAGCGACGCCGCGUGGGGGAUGACGGCCUUCGGGUUGUAAACCUCUUUCAGCUCUGACGAAGCGCAAGUGACGGUAGGAGCAGAAGAAGGACCGGCCAACUACGUGCCAGCAGCCGCGGUAAUACGUAGGGUCCGAGCGUUGUCCGGAAUUACUGGGCGUAAAGAGCUCGUAGGUGGUUUGUCGCGUUGUUCGUGAAAUCUCACAACUCAAUUGUGAGCGUGCGGGCGAUACGGGCAGACUGGAGUACUGCAGGGGAGACUGGAAUUCCUGGUGUAGCGGUGGAAUGCGCAGAUAUCAGGAGGAACACCGGUGGCGAAGGCGGGUCUCUGGGCAGUAACUGACGCUGAGGAGCGAAAGCGUGGGGAGCGAA
Molecule: ribosomal RNA, 407 nt
Filed under: actinobacterium SCGC AAA487-E23
Lineage: Bacteria; Bacillati; Actinomycetota; Actinomycetes
Description: bacterial SSU rRNA
Rfam family: Bacterial small subunit ribosomal RNA
Source: RNAcentral